CUCCAAUUGACUCAAAUGAUGUCAAUUAGCCUGUCGGAAUCAAAUCAAAUCAAAGUUUAUUUGUCACGUGCGCCAAAUACAACAGGUACAGUUGUAUUCGCACCUUACAGUGAAAUGCUUACUUACAGGCUCUAACCAACAGUGCAAAAAAGGUAUUAGGUGAACAAUUGGUGCCGAGGCGGUCACUAAAGCCAAGGAGCAUGCUGGGAGAUUACAGUGUAUGUAAUCCAGAGAAUGAGGGUGCAUUCAUGUAGCGAGUUGGCUUGGCACACUUGUCGAAGUGUGAACAGUCCUAGCCCUUUCCUGCAGUCAAAUGACCUAGAGGCCUCAUGGGUGGAAUGUUAUUUAUAUUUUUCAUAAUUUCAUAAUGAAUAAACAUUUAUUCUUUCCGCUGACAAUCUGGUGUUUCUAUGUCAAACAAUUUCAGUCUUCUGUGAUGUAUAUAAAGUGAAAUAUUGGCAUGCAAACUCAAAAUUGAAUACAUUUCAACUAUCUGACAUGGUACAGGUAUCUUAUUUUAAUUAAGCCUGUAACCAUGUGUGGAAGGUGUAUACUUUUGUUUCAAAGUAGAUCUAUUUAAGACUACCAAUAAACACUCUGUGUGACCCUGAUUUCGCCCACUAAGUUAAUAUCCUAGUUCUUUUCCAAGGCACAACCUCCUUAUGGUAAACAUAUUCAAUCAUAAAUAUUAAAAUAUGUAUUGCAUUCAUACUCAUUAAAUGACACAUUUUCAACAAAUUUAGUUGGAUUUAAUUUUGCUUACAUCAACAUCGUGUAAUUAUUCAUUUGAAAGAUUGGAAGGAAAAUAUUAUUUAUAACAUAGGGGCUGUCACGUCCUGACCAGUAUUAGGGAUUAUUUGUAAUUGUAGUUUGGUCAGGACGUGGCAGAGGGUAUUUUGUUUAUGUGUUUCGGGGUGGUGGUUUAUUUAGUAGGGUGUUUGGUUAGUUAGUUCCGGGUUAUGUUCUGUGUUUGUAUAUCUAUGUCUAGUUAAUUGGGGUUGGACUCUCAAUUGGAGGCAGGUGUUUUCUAGUUGCCUCUGAUUGACAGUCCUAUAUAUGGGUAUGUGUUUGGUUUUGUGUUUUUGGGAGAUUGUUUCUUGUUUUGCUGUGUGUGCCUGACAAGACUGUCUAGUUCGUCUGUGUUUUUGUAUACGUGUUUAUUUUGGUUUUUUCCUUCUUUGUCUGUAAUAAAG
This 1193-nucleotide long non-coding RNA is filed under the name Salmo salar (Atlantic salmon). Its description in RNAcentral is "lncRNA (ENSSSAG00000093845.1)". The record is from RNAcentral. Lineage: Eukaryota; Metazoa; Chordata; Actinopteri; Salmoniformes; Salmonidae.